This is a long non-coding RNA of Sapajus apella (tufted capuchin), 2457 nucleotides long. RefSeq lists it as uncharacterized. The record is from RefSeq and is a predicted model, not a curated record. The transcript is spliced from 2 exons. NCBI's taxonomy places the organism in Eukaryota, Metazoa, Chordata, Mammalia, Primates, Cebidae.
ACUAGUCUCCAGUGUGUGGUUUGGUCGUGAUUUCCAUCGGUGCUCGGUGGUCUUGGAUAAGCCUCUAGAUCUCGCUUUUAUCAUUUGCAAAGUAAAUAGGAUCCAAUAGAGAUUUUACUAGAAUCAUUCAGCUAAAAAUGAAGAACUUUUUUUUGAGAGGAAGGACGGGAGCGCAGUUAAAGAUGUUAAUGUUAAAUCAUCCGUGUGUGAUUUCAGAACAUUGUCUUUGCACAGCUAAAAAAGGAUGAACCUAUAAGCAAAAAGCCAGAGAGCUUUGGUGUACUAAAGUGGAUCAACCUCUGGCUGCCCCAAGAUGCAGAAACACAGUACCAGGUAGAACUCAAGCUGGGGCUUGAAGGAUGGAGGGAGAUACAUGUAAAGUUAGUGUAAAGGUAUGCUUGUUCCCCUCACUUUAUUAUGAACAUGACCUGGCCACACAUUUGUACUGCCUUGAUUAUCCCAGAAGAAAGCAAUUUCGGGCUAAAAGAGAUAAGUGUAAAACUUAGGGAGCUAGAUAAUUCUUAUGCAUAAACUCCCUCUGAAAUAGUGGGCAUGGGAAGCAAAAUGGAUUUCUCAACUGACCUGGAGUAAGAAGAAGAUGAGUGGUAGGGUGGAGGUGUAGUAAACGUCAGAGAGAGUCAUGGAGAAGGACAUUUAAGUGGCAGCACAACAAUGGGAAAAUAAGAUUUUUAUGUAUGAAAACUGUACUUCCCUCAUAUUCCACUAUAGUCUCUGGAGAUUCUGAGAACUAUUUGGAAAAUGGAAACUUUGGAAAAUACUGGCUUUCAUGCAAAUAAAGUUAGUGGGUAUUAGAGCAUUGAUAUUUGUAGCAUUACUAUAGGCAGUGACACAAUUCCAUUUACUAACUCUUUUCCAGAAAGUAUUAAUUAUAGAUGCACUAUAAUUAUGUAUUAUAUUAUUAGAAACUAUAUGUUAUUAGAUUUUUUUUGUAUUUUAUCCUUAGAACUAUUGUGCAGAACUUAUCUAUGUAUUAUUCUUUGACAAUACCUUUAAUAUUUCCUGAAGAUAGUACCCAGAAUAGCCAAACAAUCUGAAAAAGUGCAAAGUUGAAGAAUCCAUACUUUUUAUUUUCAAAGCUUACUAUGAAAAUCUACAAUAAUCAAAGAUUGUGGUAUUGACACAAAGACAUAUCGACUGAUAGAAUAAAACUGAAAGUUCAGAAAUAAGUCCUUAUGUUUAUGGCCAAUUGAUUUUCAAUGAAGGUUAUAAAACAAAUGAGGAAAGAUAAGUAUUUUAAACAAACAGUGCUGGUAUAACACAUAAAGUUGGAUUCCCUGCCUCACGCUAUGUACAACACUAACUCAACAUGAGUCAAAGACCUGAAUUUAACAGUUAAAACAUUGGGAAGAAAACAGAGGAGCAAAUCUUUGUGACCUUGGGUUAAGCAAUGUUUUCUUAGAUAUGACAUAGAAAACACAAGCAGCAAUAGGUAAAUUGUACUUUAUAAAAUUAAAAUCUCCUGCACUUCAAAGGACAUUAUUAAUAAAAUGAAAAGAAAAUCCAAAUAAUGAGAGAAAAUAUUUGUAAAUCAAUAUCCAUUAAGGAACUAGUAUCCAGAAUAUAUAAAAACUCUUACGCUUUCUAGAUUCCUGUUCUCUGGGUAGGGCAUCUCCAAAAGAAAGGCAGCAGCCCCAUUCAGGGGCUUGUGGAUAAAACUGCCAUCUCCCUGGGAAAGAGCACCUGGGCAAAGGGGUGGCUGUGGGUGCAACUACAGCACACUUAAAUGUUCCUGCCUACCAGCCCUGAAGAGCGCAGCAGAUAUCCCAGCACAGCACUCGAGGUCUGCUAAGUGAUACACUGCCUCCUCAAGUGGGUCCCUGACCCACAUGACUCCUGACUAGGAAACAUCUCCCAGCAGGGGUUAACAGACUGGCAUUUGGCAGAUGCCCUUCUGGGAUGUAGCUUCCAGAGGAAGGAACAGGCAGCAAUCUUGGCUGUUCUGUAGCCUCUGCUGGUGAUACCCAGGCAAGCAGGGUCAGGAGUGGACCUCCAGCAAACUCCAGCAGACCUGGAGCAGAGGGGUCUGAUGGUUAGAAGGAAAACUAACGAACAGAAAAGAAUAGCAUCAACAUCAACAAAAAGGACAUCCACGCAAAAACCCCACCGAAAGGUCACUGACAUGAAAGACCAAAGGUAGAUAAAUCCACGAAGAUGAGGAAAAAACAAUGCAAAAAGACUGAAAAUUCCAAAAACCAGAAUGCCUCUUUUCCUCCAAAGGAUCAGAACUCCUUGCCAGCAAGGAAACAAAACUGGACAGAGAAUAAGUUUGAUGAAUUGACAGAAGUAAGCUUCAGAAGGUGGAUAAAACAAACUAUUCCUAGCUAAAGGUUCAUGUUCUAACCCAUCAAUAUGAAAAUUGCCAUCCUACCCAAAGUAAUUUAUAGAUUCAAUGCUAUCCCCAUCAAGCUACCAUUGACUUUCUUCACAGAAUUGGAA